This is an unclassified non-coding RNA of Pongo abelii (Sumatran orangutan), 148 nucleotides long. It matches the Rfam family "Metazoan signal recognition particle RNA". Rfam says of the family: The signal recognition particle (SRP) is a universally conserved ribonucleoprotein. It is involved in the co-translational targeting of proteins to membranes. The eukaryotic SRP consists of a 300-nucleotide 7S RNA and six proteins: SRPs 72, 68, 54, 19, 14, and 9. Lineage: Eukaryota; Metazoa; Chordata; Mammalia; Primates; Hominidae. The record is from Ensembl.
GCCAGGCAUGGUGGUGCGUGCCUGUAAUCCCAGCUACUCUGGAGGCUGAAGCAGGAGAAUCACUUGAACCCAGGAGACAGAGGUUGCAGUGAGCCAAGAUCACACCACUGCAUUCCAGCCUGAGUGACAGAGUGAGAUUCUGUCUCAA